AAGCCUAAGUUGUUGUAAUUUUUUUUUACUUUGAAUAUCUAUUUAACUUGAAUUUUACUUAACUAUUUUGUUCUCUCACUUCUACUCUCUCAAUUAUUUUGCAAUUCUUCUUACUUCUCUCUACAAUUUCUGAAAACAUGUAAGUUUUU
This 149-nucleotide small RNA is filed under the name Arabidopsis thaliana (thale cress). RNAcentral describes it as "ATSL193570". The record is from RNAcentral. Lineage: Eukaryota; Viridiplantae; Streptophyta; Magnoliopsida; Brassicales; Brassicaceae.